Long non-coding RNA from Boleophthalmus pectinirostris (great blue-spotted mudskipper), 6634 nucleotides. RefSeq lists it as uncharacterized. NCBI's taxonomy places the organism in Eukaryota, Metazoa, Chordata, Actinopteri, Gobiiformes, Gobiidae. The transcript is spliced from 5 exons. The record is from RefSeq and is a predicted model, not a curated record.
CUCUCUCUCUCUCUCUCUCUCUCUCUCUCUCUCUCUCUCUCUCUCUCUCGACAAAGGCAGUUGUGCUGUGAGGAUGAUCUUUUUUUGACUUCUCCUGUGCAUUUAACACCAUCCAACCUCUGCUGCUCAAAAACAAACUGAUCGAGAUAGGAGUGGGGGUGCAUCAAGACUGGUGACGUGGGGGAGUACAGGCAGAUCAUUGAGAACUUUGUGGUUUAGUGCAUGGCUAACCACCUUCAACUGAACACUGCCAAAGAGACGGUGGUGAACUUUAGGAGGAGCAGGCCACAGCUGCAACCUGUGACUAUUGAGGGGGACACUGUGGAGGUUAUAAAGUCACAUGCGGUGACUGUCACUGUUGGAUCUCGAGCUUGUCAAGUGAUGAAAAUUUGACAGCAAACGUAAAUAUGUCAGAUAAUAAUUUAAAUAGAAAUGGAAAUACUUCAUAUAGAUAUCAUUCUUAAUUGAAAAAAAUCUACAAAAUGCAAGAUGCAGAGGUGUUAUUAUUUGCCAAAAAUCAAUUUGAAUAAAUAGGCCAUGACAACUUUUGGGGAUUGCCUCAUAGGGCCAGUUCAAGUGGUGGGGGGCAGAGAUACUGGAGGGCUGGUCAAAGGGUCCCACGUGCCUUAGUUUGAUGACCACUGAGUUAGAGCAUGGAAAUCAGACCGAAGUCCGACGAGUUCGGACAAAUAUUUAGAACUUAUAUUCAGGCUCGGGUUGGACUCGGACACAUCAGCGCGUCAGCUAUUUUCUGUCUACAGUAAAAUCGGUCGCUCUGAGACUCUUAAGUGUUCAAAAGAUCAGAGCUCUGCACUUGUAGUUUAUAUACAAGUCAAAACUGUUAUUAUUAUUUGUGAAAUGUGGUGCAACGCAGAAGAUACAUGAUUUUUAAACCAUAAAAGACUGGCAAUAAAGUCCACAGGAAAUAUACUAUGGCUAAUCUGCAGCUUCACCUCGAUCCAUGCGCUGAACAGACACGUGAGAAAAUAUCACUUUUUUACUUUUAAAGGACAGCGCUCUUUUGAGGACUGGGCUCAUUAUUUGCUGAGGACAAUUUUUAUGGAUAAUGUGGAUGAGAUGCUGCACUUUAAAUUUACCACUUUACGAGAGGCGAGGAAUAAAGUCUUCUCAUUAUUAUCCCGAGUUUGUAUUUUGCAUCUCUGUGUCCUUAGAGCAGGGGUGCUCAAUACGUCGAUCGAGAUGUACCAGUCGAUCACCAAGGUCGUGUGGGUAGAUCGCCGUGUCUCCUCUCGAACUCGCGUUUGGACCCAGUCUUGUCUCUCACUCAAGGUCUGACACUCAACAAGUGCGAUCAUAUUUCAUUACGGCCGCUGCUGUUGGCAAUAAACUUGUAGCGGGGUGCAGGAGCAUGUGGGGCGUUUCAGUGCAGCCUGUCAGUGUUGGGAAGGUUACUUUUAAAAUGUGUUCCCCUACAGAUUACAGAUUACAUACCCCAAAAUGUAGUUUGUAACGUAAUCCAUUAAAUUACUUAAAGUGAGUAACGUAAUCUGAAUACUUUGGAUUACUUGAUAUUGUUAUGCUUUUGAAAACAACAUGAAUGUAACAACCACAUCCUGAAAAUUCUUGUUUGUUCUCUUCAAAUUGUCUGUUGAGCCCAAAUCUCCAUGAACAGACAACUGUUUACUGUAGAGAGGUAAAGACCAGGAAAUCUUAACAUGAGGUAUUUGUUUUGUCUGCUAAAAGAAAAUAAAAAGCCCAGUCUUUACUUAAGCAUAUUAAAAAUAUUGAUAGAGAAAUAAUUUAUAUAUGAAAUCACUGCUGCCUUAAAUUAUGUCCACCUACUGUUAGGUGUCAUAUUGUCUAAACCAGGUUUAGUCCUGCUUUUAGACCUGGUUCAGUCCUGGUUUAGACCUGGUGUAGUCCUGGGUUUAAUCCUGGUUUAGUCCUGGUUUAGUCCUGCGUUUAGUCCUGGUUUUAGUCCUGCUUUAGUCCUGGUUUUAGUCCUGGUUUAGUCCUGGUUUAGUCCUGGUUUUAGUUCUGGUUUAGUCCUGGUUUAGUCCUGGUUUAGCCCAAAAUGUGAAAACAGGAAAAUACCGCCGUGUAAUCCAUUUAUUUCAACAAAGUAACUGUAAUCCAAUUACUACUCACUGAAACAGUAACUGUAACUGAAUACAGUUACUCAUAAAUUGUACUCUGAUUACCUAAUCCCAGUUACACGUAAUCCGUUACGCCCCAACACUGAUAAUAUAGAUUUAUUGCAGUUUGUGUUUUUGUAACUUUAUUCUACAUUUACAGUAGUUUUUAUGGAUAAACCUGUUGUUGAUAAACCUGUUGUCCGCGGCUCGCGGAGGCUCGGACACGUUGCAUCUCACGUGGUCAGAAAAAAGUGAAAAAAGUGUCAAACUUAAAGAAACGCUCGCGGUGGGCUUUUUCAAAAUAAAAGCCAGUGAGAAACAGACGUUUACAAUAAAAUAAAUAAAUAAAUAAUAAAAACUGCGUUAUAGGCGUAAAAAUAAUUGUCGGCGUUAAUGACUUAAUUAGUUUACGCAAAGUUAACGCGUUAAAGUGCCCGGCCCUAGUAUUUAGUGUCCUUAUGUCCAAAGGCUAAAAGUGUGCCUCUUAUUUUUCAGGUUUUCGACAGGAAUUAGGCUUAUGUGAAAUUAUUAAAAGUAGUGAAAGUGUAACCCAGGUUAAUAUAUACAAAUUUGGUCAAUAGCGAAUAUUCCAACGGCGACGGGUCACUAAACGCGUCACGCGCACGAUCGCGCUUUCCAUAAGUCACCUGCUCCCCUCCCUCCAUACACACCCGGGAGUGAGGCGAGACAGGGCGGCUGCGCAGGUAUGGAGCUAUCAUCACAAAUUUUCUGAUUAUAUAACAUCGGUUGUUCGUAAACUUACGCUUAUUUAUGCAACGUUUCAGGAGCCCUUACCGCUAAUAUCUGAUGCCGGAAAGACCGAAUUAAAUGAUAGCACAAAGGAAUUGGCCAGGUGAUUCUGGCUGAGAAAACCAUCCCGAUGGCGAGCUGAACCCAGGAACUUUGCCUACAACUAAAGACACACAGCGGUAUGGAGAAGAAGAAACUGCAGCUGUUGGACAAAUACCAGGAUCUGAAGAAGAGCGGGAAACUGGAAACACCGCAGCAAACGCUAGCACCGCCGCUAACGGUAGAGCAGAGGCGUACACCGGUAAAAAAAAAAUAUAUAGCGGACUAUGAGGAGGAACUGCGCCGCUCUGAACACGACAACCAGAGACUCCAGCGGCUCCUGGACUCGGCUCUGAGGGCUAUGAGCCCGAGAGUGGUGCUAGUCAGAGCCACUGUCCAGCUCCCCUCUCUGAGUCCUGGUCUGACUCCACACAUUAAAGAACCCAACAUCAAACAGUAGGAAGACCAGCUGCAAGUGUCUGUCCCAGAGUUUAGUGCUGUGAGCGUGAAGACAGAAGAAUCCUCACUGCUUCAACAAAGACAAACUGAGCAAAGAGGGGACACACAGAGAGAGGACAUCAGAACAGAGACACACAUCCACUCAGAGACAGAGGGGGAAACCGAUCACUCUUCUGAGACUGACAGUGAUGAAGACUGGAGAGCUCCACUCAACUGCUCACCUACACACAUGGACACAGGGGCUGAUGAAGACCACCACAACCAAGACCAGAGGCAGAAGCACCACUGCACAAAACCCACACCUGUCCCCCAAAUACAAGUCUACACCAAAGACCAGAGCCACUGUGGACAAUGGAGACAUGUCAGGAACUGGCGAAGGAGCUAAGAGCAGGAAACACAAGUGCUCUGUUUGUAAAGAGAGAUUUGGGUCUAAAUAUAAACUACAGAAACACAGGAGAGUUCACAUGGGAGAGGAACCGUUCAGAUGUUCAGUUUGUAAGAAAGAGUUUGCUUUAAGAUCUACUCUCAAAAGACACAUGAUUACACACACACAGGGGAGAAACCAUUCAGCUGUUCAGUCUGUAAGAAGGGGUUUGCUGAUAGGUCCACUCUCAAAACACAUAUGAAGAGACACCAUAGACUGCAUAUAUAAAUAAAUAUAGCUAAGGACAUAGCUAACACACUCUUCCGGCUCCCACUGACCCUGGCUCCCAUUGAUUUACAUUGUAAUAUUGGGGUCCCUCUCUCUAUAGCUGCUGCUGUAAGCCUUGUCAUUUUGGUCUUAAAAUGCUUGUACUAACCCACUCUAUGAUUCUGGUGGUGGUGUUUUUUUCCACAAUUUUUUUGUUGUUAAAAAAAAUCCUGUUCAUAAUAUACAGUGUUGGGAAGGUUACUUUUAAAAUGUAUUCCCCUACAGAUUACAGAUUACAUACCCCAAAAUGUAGUUUGUAAUGUAAUCCAUUAAAUUACUUAAGUGAGUAACGUAAUCUGAAUACUUUGGAUUACUUGAUAUUGUUAUGCUUUUGAAAACAACAUGAAUGUAACAACCACAUCCUGAAAAUUCUUGUUUGUUCUCUUCAAAUGGUCUGAGCCCAAAUCUCCAUGAACAGACAACUGUUUACUGUAGAGAGGUAAAGACCAGGAAAUCUUAACAUGAGGUAUUUGUUUUGUCUGCUAAAAGAAAAUAAAAAGCCCAGUCUUUACUUAAGCAUAUUAAAAAUAUUGAUAGAGAAAUGAUUUAUAUAUGAAAUCACUGCUGCCUUAAAUUAUGUCCACCUAUUGUUAGGUGUCAUAUUGUCUAAACCAGGUUUUAGUCCUGGUUUUAGUCCUGGUUUUAGUCCUGGUUUAGCCCAAAAUGUGAAAACAGGAAAAUACCGCCAUGUAAUCCAUUUAUUUCAAAGUAACUGUAAUCCAAUUACCACUCACUGAAACAGUAACUAACUGAAUACAGUUACUCAUAAAUUGUACUCUGAUUACUUAAUCCCAGUUACAUGUAAUCCGUUACUCCCCAACACUGCAGCCUGUGCGCUCAGUGCAGCCCGCGGAGACUCUACGGCACAUCACAAAUACACACGCUCCCUAUGCACGGCUCGUCUGCAACAGCGUGUGCCCUCGUGUACCAGCGUGCAUCACAGGGCAGGUUCAACUUCCUAAACAUCCUACCUGUCCAUCUGCCUCACGUCAGCACGCCGCCCCUCGCCUUUUCACGCUCUCGCUCCUUCCUGCGUACAGCGAACACAAACCCCUCCCACAGUGCGGCUGAUUAGAAGAGCAAGAUCAAACGUGAAGCAAAAAACAGUCUAAAUUUGUGUUCCAGUGUUGGCACAAAGCAGGUCUACAGCAUAGAGCAGAUCUACAGAACAGACCUACUGCCACAUUUGGCUGAAGUUUGCCUAACAAAAGUGCACAAAUGCAUCUGUGUUUGUCACGAUGUGCGUUUGGUUUGGUAAAUGUGCAGAGGCUGGUAAAUAUCACUGCAAAACCAGAAAAGAAUGAAACUCCAGUUUGGAACUUUAAAAAACAGGUUUAAAAAUCUUCCUUCACUUUUUUCACAGUUUUGUGUGAAGUGCCAGAGGAAGUUCUCUUAAAGAAGGGGUUCUCAAACUGUGGGUGAGGGUCCAAAAAGGGGCACAAAGUGUUUCAGUGCAGUUUGCUUGGCUUUGUAUUAGGUAGAUCUUUAUGACUUGGUCAUUUUGUAAGUAGCUUGCAAGCUGAAAAAGUGUGAACACCCCUGCCUUAGAGGAACACAAACAAUAUUCUCCAUGUGUCAUUAGGCCUAUGAAAAUAGUGUGAUUUAAUUGUGUCGGGUUCAGACACAAACAGCUUAAUGCCUAUUGGCCUCAGGUCAGAUUUAAUCACUGCUCUUUUGGACGCAGGUCAGGUUUGGAGAGAAAAAUUCAUCCCGAUCCACACAGCAGUAGCAGUACUUUUUGGGAGGAUAGCUUCUCAAAAAUAUAACUCUCUAGUACUUAAAUCCAUUUUUGUAUUCAAUUCAAACUUAAAAACAUGGGGAAAAAAUCUCACAAGAUAAUUUUCAGUAUGUGUGCACAAUCCCCUGGCAAGUUUGUCUCGCAAGAUCUUGUCCCUAUUAACCAAUCAUUGUGGAAAACCUUUAAUUAUAAUAUACUGCAUUAUAUUAUUAUGGAUUGUAUACAGACAGAAAUGCAUGGUCUGUCCUGCAAUACGAAGUGUUGCUAAAUGUCUCUCCACACACUUGACAGUUUUUUUUAUUAGUUAUUGUGCUUUUUUCCAUUGAUGUUGUAUUCUUUCUUAUCAUUGGCUGUAAAAUUGCUGUUGAAAUGUCCUGUUCACUUAAAACUACCAGGUAUUUAAAAUUCAAACUGAAGUUGCUUGUCUCCUUGGCGAUGUUAUUGCUUUGCCUGGAAUGUUCUUCAGUAUGACAUUAAACUUUUAAGAAAUCCAUGGAGAAAUGACAUCACAAGGCCAAUUUCAGAGGUCAGAUCCACAGAGAGGCGAAGGGAAUCAGAUCUGUGUGACUGCAAACCUUUCAUUCAAAUGAACGACGUUCAAACUGUUUCCCUUUCCAGCGGAAUUGAAAAAUUGUGAAAAAGCGAAGGUGAUGGGCCGGAUCGAUCCACAAGAAGGACCAAAAAGGAAACCUUCGGCUGCCUAAGAAAUCAUCCCAAGUUUGCAGCGAACAUUUUUUAUAUGGAGCGCCAUCAAAACCCUCGCUCAACCUUGGUUACGAAGUUUUACAUGUGUUAAACUUUAUAUCAUUUUAUUUUUAUCAUGAAACUUUCUAAAAGCAAGGAUAUUGAUACUACUGAGCA